GAAAUGCGAUAAGUAAUGUGAAUUGCAGAAUUCAGUGAAUCAUCGAAUCUUUGAACGCACAUUGCGCCCUCUGGAAUACCAGAGGGCAUGCCUGUUCGAGCGUCAUUUCAACCCUCAAGCCUAGCUUGGUGUUGGGGCAUUACCUUCCUUCGGGAGGGUAAGCCCUGAAAUUCAGUGGCGAGCUCGCCAGGACUCCGAGCGUAGUAAUAAAACCCUCGCUUUGGACUGUACUGGCGCGGCCCUGCCGUAAAACCCCCAACAUCUGAAAAUUUGACCUCGGAUCAGGUAGGAAUACCCGCUGAACUUAA
RNAcentral lists this unclassified non-coding RNA (308 nucleotides) under uncultured Valsaceae. RNAcentral's name for it is "sequence contains ITS1". The stretch from base 1 to 105 matches the Rfam family "5.8S ribosomal RNA", at positions 50 to 154 of the family's 154-position model. The record is from RNAcentral. Lineage: Eukaryota; Fungi; Ascomycota; Sordariomycetes; Diaporthales; Cytosporaceae.